AAUUAAAUGUAGAUUUUCCUUCAUAUAAUAAUGGGGAUAUGGCCCAUGAGUUUCUACCCAAUGACCGUAAAUUAUUGGACUAUGAGGGAAAGUGGUUUUUAU
This 102-nucleotide non-coding RNA is filed under the name Bacillus sp. (in: firmicutes). Its description in RNAcentral is "Bacillus sp. Guanine sequence". It matches the Rfam family "Purine riboswitch aptamer". Rfam says of the family: Riboswitches are metabolite binding domains within certain messenger RNAs that serve as precision sensors for their corresponding targets. Allosteric rearrangement of mRNA structure is mediated by ligand binding, and this results in modulation of gene expression. Lineage: Bacteria; Bacillati; Bacillota; Bacilli; Caryophanales; Bacillaceae. RNAcentral also lists the same sequence under 1 other name. The record is from RNAcentral.